UUGCACCUCCUUUUGAAGCUUCUUCUUCAGAGUCCACCUUGACUCUCCACUCCACCCAAAGAGAUCCGCACCACCGGAGCAUGCGAUGCGAAAACGCAACAUGCACAGUUGCACUUGCACGAUCGACACCCGCUUUGAUGCAAAAGCCGUCACUGUUGCUUCACAGCUAAGCAGAUACUAGAAAAAUUUAUCCUGUAUGUGUACUCCCUUUUUAAUCUGAACAGGAGGAUCGGGGAUAAGUUUGUUCUUCUGUUGCUUUCUUUUUCCGGCCUGUUGGUUUUGACUGAUCACUGUCAGCAAAGUAAACAGGGGGGAUGAGAUGGCCGGCCCGGCCGGCCACUCGGGUUUCAGUUGGUUGGGACUUGGGCGUCUGUUUUGAAGUUAGUUUCUUUAAAGUUUUCGAGUAAAAGACGACCACUUAAUUAGUACCAACACUUAUCUUCUACACAAUCUCAUCCAACGUGUACUGGUUAAAUUUGAUUGAGAUCGUACAUAACAGCAGGUCAGCGGCUGGUCCUAGCAACCACAAUGCAGACAAGCCGCGCGCCUCCUCUCGACAGAAGCAACAUUUUGUGUUGAAUCAAUCGUUGCUGCGCAACCGGCCAGUUGGUGCUGCCUGCUUGUGGCUAAAACCCGUUUAAUCGGGCUAGGGGAUGGAUAUCGGCGGUGGCAUGGCAAGGCAGCGACUGGCCUGGUGCUCUUCGCUUAAUCUCGACAUGGACUCAACUGAUUUUGCUUUCUUUUUCUGCCCCGUCCCGCUGGUGCGCCGUGCACUACGCCGGCGCCUUUUGCUCCCUCCUGCUUUCUCCGGCGCAAAAAGAUCAGCAAAACUGUAAAAUCACAAGCGGGAUUAACCGACUAGGCAAAGAUUUGAUUGUGGACCGGAGCAUCAUCCCGUGGAGUACAGCGGAGAAACAGCAUCUGGAGAAGACUCUCGAGACAGACAAGACAACGAAACUACGAGAGAGAGGGAGGGAGCAAGAAGAAUCAGCGACGCUCCCUGGUGUCUGGUGCCAGUACCUAUCUGUAUACGUUGACGCGUAGCGUCGAGCCGUUCACACAUACAAACACAAAUACUGAAGUCGACUACAUACGUACAUAAGCGUCAUGUAUUAAUUGGGUGUCAGGGGAAAAAAUCCGGUCUGGAUUCCCCGUCCCAGCAUAUGCAUGUGCGACUGCAUCUAUCUCUCGAUCGACCAGCUAGACAAGUAAAACCAACCGUGUAGCAUUAAGAAAGAGAUAGAUGCAUAUAUGCCUUGAGAUUGAGAAUCUGAGAUCGAUCAUCUCA
This is a long non-coding RNA of Brachypodium distachyon (stiff brome), 1288 nucleotides long. RefSeq lists it as uncharacterized. NCBI's taxonomy places the organism in Eukaryota, Viridiplantae, Streptophyta, Magnoliopsida, Poales, Poaceae. The record is from RefSeq and is a predicted model, not a curated record. The transcript has 2 exons.